CAAGUGAGCUCUGAGCCCCAGCAUGCUGGAUCCCCAAUAAACCCUUUGCUGUUGCAUGAGACAGUCUCUUGGUUGUCUCUUCCUCUGAAGCUCGCCCGACCUUUACAUCUGGAGGCCCUAGCGAGAUCUGGCAGCGGCAGACAAAAGACCCCCAACAGGCCCCUCUUGGGCCUACUUGGGAUGACUGCCAACAACUCCUAGGCACUCUCUUCAUGACAGAGGAACAAGAGAGAAUCCUCCUGGAAGCUAGAAAAAAUAUCCUGGGACCAGAUGGGCGACCGACACAACUUCCCAACAUAAUCGAAGCCGACUUCCCCUUGAACCGACCCAACUGGGACACCAACACCUUUGAAGGUAGGGAGCAUCUGUCCACUUAUCGCCGGGCUCUAAUAGUGGGUCUCUGAGAGGCCACUAGGCGACCAACUAAUUUGGCCAAGGUAAGAGAGAUUAUUCAAUGGCCUGAUGAAUCUCCCUCUAUGUUUCUAGAGAGAAUUAUGGAGGCAUAUAGGAGAUAUACUCCUUUUGAUCCUCAGGCAGAGGAUCAAAAGGCAUCUGUCAUGAUGGCCUUUAUUGGGCAAGCUGCCCUGGAUAUUAAAAGAAAGUUACAAUGCUUAGAUGGAUUACAAGACAUGACUUUGAGAGAUUUGGUCAGAGAAGCCAAGAAGGUAUACUAUAAGAGAGAAACUGAGGAAGAUAAAGAACAAAGGAGGGAGAAAGAAAAGGAGCAAAGGGAGGAUGAGAGAAGCAAAAGACAGACUAAGGCAUUGACUAAGGUCCUGGUCACAACAACAAAUAGGCCAGAAAUUAAGAAACAGGGAGACAGGAAGGGAUACCUGGGCCCAUGCCAGAGGCCACCUCUGGCCUCAGACCAAUGUGCCUACUGUAAAGUAAAAGGACAUUGGGCCAAAGAGUGCCCUAGAAAGAGACAGCCACACCAGCCAGCCAUUCUAACUCUGGAGGAUGACUAGGAAAGUCGGGGCUCGGAUCCCCUCCCCGAGAUCAGGGUAACUUUUGAAGUGGAGGAGACCCCAGUAAACUUUGAGGUGGAUACAGGGGAAGUAUACUCAGCCCUUAAGGCCCCAUUGGGCCCUCUAUCAAAUAAAAGGUCUCUAGUUCAAGGGGCUAACGGCAGUAAAUAUCGGGCUUGGACAACUAAGAGGACCGUGGACCUGGGGAAAGGAAAAGUCCAUCACUCCUUCAUAGUGAUCCCAGAAUGUCCGGCCCCAUUGACGGGCAGAGAUCUGCUCACCAAGCUCCGGGCCAAAAUAACUUUUAACCCUGAAGGCCCCCAAUUGGAAUUUCUAAAUCCUUCAGUAAAAACUCCUAUAGUCACGGCUUUAACUAUGUCAGUAGAAUAUGACUAUCAACUCUUUACACCCCCCAAGGCUGAUCAAACAGGCAAGCUACCCCAGAAAUGGAUAACAGAUUACAAAGAUGCCUGGGCAGAAACUGCUGGGUUAGGCCUAGCCAUGAAACAACCUCCAAUAACAGUGGAGUUAAAAAUCUCAGCCUCCCCAAUUAAUGUCAAACAAUAUCCUCUGAGCAAAGAAGCUAAAGAUGGGAUAAGGCCCCAUAUUCAGAAUUAUCUGGCCUUAGGGGUCCUAAGGCCCUGUCAAUCAGCCUGGAACACUCCCCUGCUACCACUAAAAAAGCCAGGAUCCGGGGACUAUUGCCCCGUACAAGACCUAAGAGAGAUCAACAACAGGGUGCAGGACAUUCACCCCACAGUACCUAAUCCGUACAAUAGCUCAGUACUCUGAGCCCUGAGUGAAAAUGGUAUACUGUUCUGGACUUAAAAGAUGCUUUCUUUUGCUUGCCUCUGCAUAAAUAUAGUUAGUUGCUGUUUGCUUUCGAGUGGGUAGACCCAGAAACCGGAACAUCUGGUCAACUAACUUGGACUAGUUAGUUGAACUAGGGGUUCAAAAACUCCCCCACUCUCUUUGAUGAAGCCCUCCACAGAGAUCUCAACAACUUCAGAAGUACGCACCCCAAAGUCACCCUGCUUCAAUAUGUGGAUGACCUGCUACUGGCAGCUGACACCAAGGAAAACUGUGAGUCUGGGAUCCAAGCACUAUUAUCCGAGCUUGCUCAACUCGGGUAUAGAGCUUCUGCCAAAAAGGCCCAAAUUUGCCAGCAAGAAGUAAUCUUCCUGGGCUAUUCCCUCAGGGGCGGUAAAUGAUGGCUCACUGAGCCCAGAAAACAAACUGUUGUGCAAAUACCACCUCCAUCUAACAGGAGGCAACUCAGAGAGUUUCUUGGGACUGCUGGCUUUUGCAGGUUAUGGAUACCUGGGUUUGCAUCCUUAGCUGCUCCUUUGUACCCGCUGUUAAAGGGAGAUGCCCAAUUCCAAUGGACCCCUGAGCACCAGCAAGCUUUUGAUAACAUCAAGAGGGUGCUGCUAUCUGCUCUGGCCUUAGCACUCCCAGAUGUAGAAAAGCCCUUUACUCUCUACAUUGAGGAAAAGAAAGGAAUAGCACGAGGAGUGCUCACUCAGACUCUAGGACCCUGGAAAAGGCCUAUAGCCUACUUGUCUAAAAAGCUGGACCCAGUGGCUGGUGGAUGUCCCCAUUGCCUAAAAGCUAUAGCAGCGGUGGCCCUACUAAUCAAGGAUGCUGAUAAGUUAACGCUGGGGCAGAAGCUAACCAUUAUAGCCCCCCAUGCCCUAGAGAGUAUCAUCCACCAGCCACCAGACAGAUGGCUAUCAAACUCUAGAAUAACACACUAUCAGAGCCUGUUGCUUGACAAGGACAGAAUAAUGCUGGGACCCCCCGCCCCGCUUAACCCAGCUACACUACUACCUGAACAAUCAUCAGGACCCUUCACUCAUGACUGUCAACAUAUACUGGCAGAAUAAACCAGUAUACGGGAUUUAAAGGAUCAGCCACUGCCCCACCCUGAGGUCAUAUGUUUUACUGAUGGCAGUAGCUUUCUCCAGGACGGUAAGCAGCGAGCUGGGGCAGCAAUAGGAACUAAAGUCAUCUGGUCCUCUAGCCUCCCGGAGGGAACAUCAGCUCAAAAGGCAGAGCUGAUCACCCUAACGAAGGCAUUAGAGCUAGCGGCAGGCAAAAAGGCCACUAUAUACACAGAUAGCCGCUAUACCUUCGCUACCGCUCAUAUACACGGGGAUAUCUAGCAGCAAAGGGGACUAUUAACCUCAGCGGGAAAGGAAAUAAAAAACAGAGAUGAGAUCCUCCGCCUCCUCUCAGCAGUGCAAAGCCCUAGAGAACUAGCUAUAGUGCACUGUCCAGGACACCAGAAAGGAAACGAUCCCAUAGCGGUCGGGAACAGGAGGGCAGAUGAAGAGGCUAAAUUGGCAGCCCUAAACAGAGUAACCAUGUUAACACUUUCCACACCGGAGGAACAUAAGUCAGGAGAUUUGACUAUGUCGGAGCACCCCGACAACUUAACAUCUAAGGACACUGACACUGAACUCCUCGAUUUCACUGAGCCCAGCCUGCAAUUUCAGAAAGCCCUACACUACGUUAAAAAUGUACAUCAACUCACUCACCUUGGUUCAAAGAAACUGCAGGCAUUCCUGAAGGAUCAAGAACAGAGUUUUCCACUAACCGACUCACAGCGAAAGGAAAUAUCUGAACGGGUAACAAAAGCCUGUCGGGUCUGUCAAUUGGUUAAUGCUUACCCUUCCAAGCUUCCUGCAGGAAAGCGCCUAUGAGGAACCAGACAGGACAAUUCUGGGAAGUGGACUUUACUGAAAUUAAGCCAGCAAGGUAUGGACUUAAAUAUCUCCUAAUCUUUGUAGAUACAUUUUCAGGAUGGAUUGAAGCCUUCCCCACAAAAAAAAAGAAACGGUGCAAAUGGUGGUCAAAAAGAUCCUGGAAGAUAUUUUUCCAAGAUACGGCCUGCCUAAGGUAAUAGGAUCUGAUAAUGGACCGGCGUUCAUGGCCCAGACUUAAAGCUCUUGAAAGAACCCAGCGAUACCUGUGGAAACAGCUGGCCACUGCCUACCAACCUGGGGACAAAGGGACUCCACACUGAUAUCAAGUGGGAGACUUCGUCUACAUAAGACGACACCAGGUGUCAUCCCUGGAACCCCGCUGGAAAGAACCAUACCAGGUGCUACUUAUAACACCUACAGUGGUAAAGGUAGACGGAAUCACUUCCUGGAUCCAUGCCUCUCAUCUCAAGCCUGCGCCCUGUCCAGACUCUGGCUGGAAAUUGGAAAAGACUGUUGUUUUACAGAACAGGCGAGGGUGGAACCUCCUCUUCAUGAGAGAAGAGGGCCUUUGUGCUGCAUUGAGGGAAGAAUGUUGUUUUUAUGCCGACCAUACUGGAGUUGUAAAAGAAUCUAUGAGUAAAUUAAGAAGACGCCUUGAAGAGCGUCAGCGAGAGAGAGAAGCCCAAAAAGGGUGGUAUGAGUCUUGGUUCACACAGUCCCCCUGGUUAACCAUGCUUUUAUCAGCCCUGGCUGGUCCAUUAAUAAUCCUCAUAUUAUUGCUAACUGUAGGACCUUGCUUGCUCAACCAUGUAGUUUCCUUUCUCCAAGCUCAAAGUGGACAAGUUUAACUUAUGGUAAUCAGACAACAAUAUACCCCACUAGCAGACAUAGAAUGUGACACCCCCCAAUGAUCACUUUUAUGAUUAAAAGUAGCCAGAAGAAGAAGUGGGGAAUGAAAGGUUAAUAAAAUAGGUACUUGCCACUCCGUUUUUCUAUAUGCUUAACAAAACACUGUUGAAAUCUUAAGAACUGUUUGCUAAUCUUGUUCCCAGAAUGGGCUGUCCCCAACUGCCAAACUGCAGAAUGUAACUUCCCUCCAUGCCCUCUCCAAGGAAAGUAUAUAAGUUCUGCUUAAGCUGUUCUCAGGGCUCUCUUUGCUCUAUUCAAGUGAGCUCUGAGCCCCAGCAUGCUGUAUCCCCAAUAAACCCUUUUCU
Molecule: long non-coding RNA, 4890 nt
Organism: Marmota monax (woodchuck)
Lineage: Eukaryota; Metazoa; Chordata; Mammalia; Rodentia; Sciuridae
Exons: 4
Source: RefSeq, a predicted model, not a curated record